CAAAGCCCAAAGGAAGUUUUACAGAAUCCAGUCAGAUGGAAGCAAGACGCCAGAGCCGGAUUUCUGUACAUCCAUUUGCACAGUACUGUACAACAAGUUUCCUUUGCUGAGUUCCUUGGUCAGGGGUUUAAACACAUUUUCUGUCCAGUACUGCAGUUGGAAUUUUCCAUCAACUUUUUAUGGUGGCGCUGCGGGUAGCGCUCUCACCUCACAGCAAGAAGGUCGCUAGUUUGAUUCUCGACUGGAUCAGUUGGCAUUUCUGUGUGGAGUCUGCAUGUUCUCCCCGCAUUCGCAUGGGUUUCCUCCGGGUGCUCCGGUUUCCCCCACAAGUCCAAAGACAUGCGCUAUAGGGCAAUUGGACAACCGAUGUCCAUCUCAAAAGAGCGUCUAUUCUUCAAGCUCUCUUUACUUACCUUGGUGAGGAUGAGGCAUGCCUGGUGAAAGAAUACAUGGGCAACCAAAAGAAGAAUUUUUGAAGGACCUGACAAACACCGCCAUGGCCAUAUGUGUCAUCAAAAGGAAAGAGGAGAUUAUGAGGACAUUGGCAUCGUUGUGAAUGGAAAAGUGAUUCUUGAACAGAUAAAAUCUGUUGCACAAGCCUGUGCACGGAUGUUGGGGGCAAUUUAUGUGCUUGAUUUGGCCUACCCAAAAGAACUCAAAUACUAUUACGAGUUUGCCCAAAAAGUACUUGUGCAAAUGAACUGACCAGCUCUCCUUAAAGGUUCUCAUACUGGAAAACAGUGCGAAGCUGUAAUUUUAAGCAUUGAAGUGUUGAUAAAUGCUCAACAACCAUAUGUAUAUCAUAUACAAAUUGCAGUUUAGAGUAGGAAUUGUUUAAUAAGUGAAUUAAGUUUUCUUUGUCUGCAAAAUUAAUUUGCUGUAGGAACUUGUUUUAAAUGGUGUGUGUGUGUGUGUGUGUGUGUGUGUGUGUGUG
Molecule: non-coding RNA, 934 nt
Organism: Danio rerio (zebrafish)
Lineage: Eukaryota; Metazoa; Chordata; Actinopteri; Cypriniformes; Danionidae
Source: RefSeq, a predicted model, not a curated record